Molecule: transfer RNA, 76 nt
Filed under: Thermoproteota archaeon
Lineage: Archaea; Thermoproteati; Thermoproteota
Also listed under: 1 other name
Description: tRNA-His
Rfam family: tRNA
About the family: Transfer RNA (tRNA) molecules are approximately 80 nucleotides in length.
Source: RNAcentral
GCCGGGGUGAGGUAGCCUGGUAACCUGGGGGCCUGUGGAGCCCUUAACCCGGGUUCAAAUCCCGGCCCCGGCCCCA